Small nucleolar RNA from Vicia villosa (hairy vetch), 108 nucleotides. The record is from RefSeq and is a predicted model, not a curated record. Lineage: Eukaryota; Viridiplantae; Streptophyta; Magnoliopsida; Fabales; Fabaceae.
AGUCCAUGAUGCGGGCAGAGUCUUAGCAUAUCCUUGUAUCUUUCCCAAGCUUCGAAAAGUGAUUCAUUGUCUUUUUGAGUAAAUCCGUUGAUUUUGGCCUCUCAGCAU